RNAcentral lists this ribosomal RNA (466 nucleotides) under uncultured bacterium. Its description in RNAcentral is "partial 16S ribosomal RNA". It matches the Rfam family "Bacterial small subunit ribosomal RNA", at positions 30 to 507 of the family's 1533-position model. The record is from RNAcentral.
CGAACGCUGGCGGCGUGCUUACCACAUGCAAGUCGAACGGAAAGGCCCUGCUUUUGUGGGGUGCUCGAGUGGCGAACGGGUGAGUAACACGUGAGUAACCUGCCCUUGACUUUGGGAUAACUUCAGGAAACUGGGGCUAAUACCGGAUAGGAGCUCCUGCUGCAUGGUGGGGGUUGGAAAGUUUCGGCGGUUGGGGAUGGACUCGCGGCUUAUCAGCUUGUUAGUGGGGUAGUGGCUUACCAAGGCUUUGACGGGUAGCCGGCCUGAGAGGGUGACCGGCCACAUUGGGACUGAGAUACGGCCCAGACUCCUACGGGAGGCAGCAGUGGGGAAUAUUGCACAAUGGGCGGAAGCCAGAUGCAGCAACGCCGCGUGCGGGAUGACGGCCUUCGGGUUGUAAACCGCUUUCGCCUGUGACGAAGCGUGAGUGACGGUAAUGGGUAAAGAAGCACCGGCUAACUACGUG